GGGUGCGUCGGCUUUGGGAAAGGAAAAGAGUAAGGACAAUGUGAGGUGACAGAGGGAAGAAGAAAUGGAGAGGACGAUAGAGCUGAGAGAGGAGGAGCAGGUGGAGACGAUCCGUGAUGCCUACAUGGUGGUGGCAGGCGUGCCCAACAAGACCACCUUUCACACGCACUACAUCUGUGACAUGGCUCUGGACAUGCUGAGCUCCAUCGACCACCUUAAAGACCCCUCCACCGGGGAUAACAUCCAGAUCAGAGUCGUGAAAUACAACAGGAAGUGAUGGACAGAGACGGAGGUAAAAUCACCAGAUAAUUCAAGCAGUGCUGUCCAAAGACGACAACGGAUCCACGGCAUGCGUCUGCUGAGAAAAGUAAUCAAAGACUCCGUCUCACCUCGACGUGCUGCUAUCCCUCACACACCUUCAGCUGCCGUUUUGUUCUUCAUUCACGUCGGCCUUCCUUCCCAGCCGUUUGAGUGACAGGUGAGAUUAAGCACCCUUUGAACUCUAUCUGGUUAUUGGAAGAACAGUCUAAAUUGAAGCAGUGUUAUUACAUGCCGCCUUGC
Lates calcarifer (barramundi perch) is the source of this 561-nucleotide long non-coding RNA. RefSeq lists it as uncharacterized. Lineage: Eukaryota; Metazoa; Chordata; Actinopteri; Centropomidae. The record is from RefSeq and is a predicted model, not a curated record. The transcript is spliced from 3 exons.